AACGCCUGUGAGUUACCUUGCAUGCGUUUAAGACGUUUUUUCAUUAUUUCUGUUUCAGAAAUCUAAAUACAGAAUGAAGUGGAUACCGGUUUCAGAACAGGAGCUCAGAUCCUACGACGACCCUCCUCACGGAUUGUCUGACGUCACAAAAGACCUUUGGGAGUUAAGUCCAAAAGUUCGGAGUAUUGUCAGAGACCGAAUAACUUAUAAAAAAGGAAUCAAGGAUCUCUUUUUCUGCCUUUACGAGAUAGAGAGUGGAGACAUAUGUACUUUUGAAGAAAGCUAUGAGGGAAUUAUAAGUCAUCUGAACGAAUACAAGGCUCAUCGGAUUAAUAAAGAAACAAGAAACAGUAUUCGUAGUGAAGCAAAAAAUCGACGAAUUCGGCGUGCUAAACUGAAAAGUGAGAAAACCCCUUCCUCUCUGAAACGAGCUAAAAAUCCUUUGGCCAAAUCAGAUUAUGAUAUUUUUAUUACAGCAGCAAACAAAGCAAGAUCGGGUGAAAUGGAUCGUAGACCUACUAUGAGAGAUAAUGAACAAGAAGAGAUGCAAAGGAAGAAUGAAGAGAAUUUACGAAAAAAGAGGCGUGAAGAAGCACUAAUGGAAGAGAAAGGAAAAGAACGACGGGAUGAGCAAGAAAGACGACGGGAUGAGCAAGAAAGACGGGAUGAGCAAGAAAGACGACGGGAUGAGCAAGAAAGACGACGGGAUGAGCCAAAAAGACGGGAUGAGCAAGAAAGACGUCGGGAUGAGCAAGAAAGACGGGAUGAGCAUGAAAGACGACGGGAUGAGCAAGAUAGAAGAUGGGAUGAGCAGGAAAGACGGGACAAGAAAGGAAAAAGCCGUAAUAUGGAAGAAAAACGACAGGAAGAUUAUCGCCGAAAAGAAGACGAAGGACGCGAAAGAAAUCGUGAUUAUCGAUCCAAGAGUGGAGAACACAGGUUUCCGGAGUUGCGCUCCCGGGAUAAACCAUAUGGUCAUGGGAUAAAUAGAUAUAGCUCUAGGACUGCCUGGAGCCCACCUAAGCAGCAAACUUAUAUCUGCAAAGACUGUGACGAAAGUUUUACAGACCAGCACAAGUACAGUGACCACAGGCACAACAGCGAAUACUCAGGAAAUUGUUCAGUAUCGUCGGAGAGGACGAUUAGGGUCGGGGGUCUAGACUUUUCCAGGCAACCAAGGGGAUCCAGAGGAAACUCAGCAGUCUUCACCUCUAUGGGAGCUAGAGGUUCAAGGCAAGAUGAUUUAGAACCAUCUGAACCCAACAGACUGCCCUCACCUUCGGAGGCUAGUAGAUUCAGUAGAUAUGCAGAACCUAGGGGAUAUGGUAGAUCAUCAGAUGCUGUAGAAACCACAGGAAAUAAUAGAUCAUCAAUAUCUGCGGAACCUAGAGGAAAUUUUGGAUCAUCAAUUACUGUAGAGCAAAAGGGAGAUAGUAGUAGAUCAACAUCUGUUGAAGAAAGCGGAAGUAGAAGAUCAUCAAUUUGUGUAGAACCUAGGCAAAAAAGUAGGUUAUCAACUACCAGGGAACGAAGAGGCUCGCCUGCUUCUAGUGAAAGGUUUAUAAGACCGUCAAAUACAGAGAUUGUUGACAUGGAGGUAGAUUCUCCAGAGUGUAUAUCUUUAUCACCUGAAUAUUCUCCAGUAUCCACUGAAUGUACUCCAGUAUCCCCUGAAUAUACUCCAGUAUCCACUGAAUGUACUCCAGUAUCCCCUGAAUAUUCUCCAGUAUCGCCUGAAUAUACUCCAGUAUCCCUUGAAUAUUCUCCAGUAUCGCCUGAAUAUACUCCAGUAUCCCUAGAAUGUUCUCCAGUAUUACCCGUCUCUGCUCAUUCUGUCUCCGUUAUGGCCAGUCCUAUAAAGCCUGCCUCUGGAACCAAGGUUGGGAUUGUAAAACUUCGUCCUCUUGUUGAUCUUCUGGAAAGUCCCAAUCAAAACUCCAAUCCUCAGCAACCAGUACUAGAACAGGAAAAAGUUUGGGAUGUUCUACAGUGCCUUAAACUAAAUGAAAAUCAGGCAUAUGACGAUAUAGCUGAGGCGGAAGAGAACACAUAUGCAGCUGGUUCUUCUCAGAACUCAUCCGUUAGUUUGGAAAAUCGUUUGGAAUUAAUGGGAGAAAGUCUGCUUUCUUAUUUAGCUAAAGAUAUUGCUCCACAUGAUCCUGUUUUGACGAGAACAGAGUCUCAAAUUGUAAGUCCUGCUAAAUCUUAUGAUAAAAUUAGUUCUUUAAGUACAGUUGGUCCGGUAACAGUGAGCCAGGCUCCUCAAAUAAACUCGGCUAAUCCCAGUUCUUCCUCCGGAUCAUCAACAGCGUCUAGGUCAUCUAACGAAGGUGGCUUUUUAUUAACUUUGCCUUCGAGUCUUACGUUUACUCCACCUAAACCUGCUCAACCUGCGCUAAUGCCGCUGAAGAAGAAGACCUUCUCCGAUUCAUUCCCGAAUUAUGUUCCCGCAGAGCAGGAGAAGAACAAGGAGAAAGAGAAAUCUUCUACCAACAAGGAAACCGAACCUGCAGAACAAGAUGAAUUGGAGUUGUAUCUGGAUAAGAAGAGGAAGGGAUUCCAGGCUAUUGACAAAAUCAAGAGCUCUGUAGACCCUCAAACAUUAAACAGGAUUGGACAGCUAGACGCGGAGAAGAGAAAGGAUUUGAAUGUGAUCAAGGGUGGGGAGGAGAUUAAAAAAACUACAUUAAAACCACUGCAUGGUUCAUCCAAAAAUCCAUUGAUUUCUCCCAAAACUCAUUCUGUCCCCUCCAAAACUCCUGUAGCCCCUUCUAAAACUAAUGCUAUCCCCUGCCAGACUCCUGCCGUCACAUCCAAAACUGUCACAGACCCAGUCGCCUCAAAAACUGUUCCAGUACACUCAAAAACUGUUCCAGUUAACUCAAAAACUGUCCCAGUUCCCUCUAAAACGGUUCUAGUCCCCUCUAAAGCUGUUUCAGUCCACUCCAAAACUGAUGCAGUAACCUCUAAAACUCCUGCCGCCCCCUCUAGAACUUCUACCGUCCUUUCUCUAACUCCUGCCGGCCCCUCUAGAACUGCUCAAAUCCCUUCUCUAACUCCUGCCGGCCCCUCGAGAACUGCUCAAAUUCCUUCUCUAACUCCUGCCGGCCCCUCUAUAACUGCUCAAAUCCCUUCUCUAACUCCUGCAGUUCGUCCGAGUAUGUCUGCUUUUAGUGAGGAGCAGAGGAAGAGGAUUCAGGAGAAUGUGAGAUUAAAGAAAGCAGAGAAAGAGGCCAAGUUCAAAGCUAAGGAAGAGAAAGCUAAGAAGGAGAAAGAAAAAGAAAGACUGAAGCGAAAAUAUCAAGAAGAACUUAAAGCUAGGGAAAUUGAAAUGCUUAAACAGGCGGAAGAAAAAAAGGAAACUGAAAGGAAAAUGGAAAAAGAAAAGAAGGAGAAAGAGAAAAGCAGGGAAAAGCAAGAAUUAAAACAUGACUCAAGGAAAAAUUUGAAAAAAGAAAGACAAGUGGAAAAAAGUCUGAAAAACACAAAGAAUCUUGACAGGAGAAGGGACAAAGAUUCAGAAAAUGAAAAACUAAGAAGCAUAGCUAAAAAAGUAAACGAACAAAAUUUACAAACGCCAGGAGAACUGGAUAAAGGAAAUGGGCUCAAUGAUGAAAAGAGUUUAAUUAAAAAAUCCCAUGCAGAAAUCUUAAGAGAUUUACGUAAAGAGAAAACCAAAAUUGAAGAAGAAUCAAAGAGAUUGCUGACUAACAAAUCGGAGACCUCUGUGGACGAUUUACCAAUUGAAAUUAAAAGCAAGAACUUGAAACCUACGGAGUUAAAACAUACUAAAGUGUCUUCUCUCGAACCUGAGAAAGAGACUCCCAUGGAUGUUCUACCUCCUGAAACUGCUCAUAAAAACUCGGAAAAUAUUCAGAAAACAUCAUGUAAUGAAAUGGAAGAAAAUUCAAGCAAUCACAAGACCCUGAAUUCUACACAAGACAAUUCUGCCUGUGAAUCUAGCCUUAAUGUUCAGCACAAUCCUAAAUCUUUUAAGGGUCUUCUAGAACAGGAAACAAGUACUUUUCUGGAAUCAAGUAAGCUACCUAAUCAAGAAGCUAGUACUAAACCUGUACUAGAACACAGCAAAAACCCUAACCUCGAUACUAGAACUAAACCUAUUCCGGAACCUAGUAAGAAACAAAGUAGUGAUCAAUCUUUUCCUGAGCCUAUUAGGAAGCCAGAACUUGGAACUAUUGCUAAACCAGAACCCAUUAAAAACCCUAACCUCGAUACUAGAACUAAACCUAAUCCGGAACCUAGUAAGAAACAAAGUAGUGAUCAAUCUUUACCUGAACCUAUUAGGAAGCCAGAACUUGGAACUAUUGCUAAACCUGUACUAGAACCCAGCAAAAACCCUAACCUCGAUACUAGAACUAAACCUAAUCCGGAACCUAGUAAGAAACAAAGUAGUGAUCAAUCUUUACCUGAACCUAUUAGGAAGCCAGAACUUGGAACUAUUGCUAAACCUGUACUAGAACCCAGCAAAAACCCUAACCUCGAUACUAGAACUAAACCUAAUCUGGAACCUAGUAAAAAACAAAGUAGUGAUCAAUCUUUUUCUGAGCCUAUUAGGAAGCCAGAACUACUAUGUAAUGCUAAAUCUGCUCCGGAAGCUAGUAAGAAGCCUGGACGUAAAACUAGUACUAAGCCUGUACCGGAGCCUACUAAAGUACCUGAACCUUUACAGAAACCUGUAUCUGCAAAUAAACUGCAGCCUGUACCUGUCACCAAACAGACUGGGGAUAUGGUUGACUCUGUUCCUAAUUAUAAACGUAAGCAACUAGAAAGCACGGAAAGGGGAUCAAAACUUCAAAAACGUCAAUCCUCUAAGGUCGAACUGUCUGAUCUGGACCGGUUAAGGAAUAUACUGUAUCGAGAAAGCUCCGAUUCCGAUGAUUCCGAUUCCGACACCGUGAAACAAAUAUUAGUAUCAAGAAAGAAUUACUCAUCUACAGAUAAGACUCAUUCGAGUAGUCAUGAAGCACACAUAGAUAAGAAACCCCGUAUAUCCUCAGAACCUUUAAACAGUUCUUGUCAGUCACUUGAUAAAAAAUCAGUCAAACUCGAUGCAAGUAAAUCUAAUGUGGAUGAUUCUACUGUGGGAGAUGUUUAUCCUAUACAUGAGAAUAUCCAGGUAGACGAUGAAUCUCCAGAUCCUGAACCUUUACCUAUCGAGAUAUUAUCCGUGAGAUCGUUAUACAAAGAUCCUGAGAGACUGAGCAAGUUCAUGGAAACUCUUCCGAACCCUGCGUACACGAUAUAUCAUCCUAAACCUGGAGAGAUCAUUGAACUAAACGAUGACGGAUCUUCUGGAGAUGAAAUGUAUGAUUUAGGAGACAAUAUUCCUUACAGACUACAGUAUACCCGGGCAGUAGAAGUCUCACGAGUUGAGAAACUGAGACAUGAAACCUCAUUUAUUCAUCUAGUGGAAGGGGAAGACGACAUUACAAAAUGUCUGCACUGUCCGCGGUUCCUUAACGAUUCUGAAAGCACGUUCAGGAUUAAUGUAGUGGACAACUCGGCUGUUGUGUACUGCUGCUGUGGUAAAAAUUACAAGAUUUACAACCUGAUAAAACUACCUGGAAGAUACCAGGGAUAUCAAGCACAUUCCUUCACUCGGUCUGGAUCUGCUCACAGCUUCCAUACAAAAAAUCAAUCCUCUACUUCUUCCACUGGCUCUGCCUAAUCUCAGCAUCAAUUAGAUUGCGUCGUUAAACUGUACGCUCGUGGCUCAAACUGAUCCAAAUUCAUGUAAUUUAAGAGAAAAGGCAAUAUUUGUCUGCAUAGUACCUGAAUAUUCUACAAGAAAAGCGAAUAUAUAGAGAAGGGAAAUGGCGUUGGAUCUGCAGUUCGUUUCCGAAGGAUUCAUCAAGUUUCUAAAGAACUCCAACCAGCCAAUGGAGAAACUGACUCAGAGAAACCUAGAGAACCUUUAUAACCUUAUCUUCAAGAUGGAGUUUGAGAGAAAUCAAAAUACAAAUCUUGGAGAGUUAAAGUUUCCAGAGCUUUCCAGGCAUAUGGAGGAGAAUGGUAUGCUGAAGUUUAACGGCGAAACCGCGGUGUUUAGCCUAUAGUAGUCGGAGAAGUUCUUCCUUUUAAAUCAUUAGUUACACAUAUUUUUACAACAUAUUUGCUUAAAACUGAACUACUUUAUCUUAUAAGAAACUCCUGUGAUUAUAAAGAACACAUUUCAUGCAUUUAUACAACAGAAAUUUAAUUUCUCGAAUUUUAGAAAUUUAAAUGAUUUUAUACUUCCAGAGUUUGAUGAUUGAUCUAGAUGAAAUGUCUAAAUUUGAUUCUUUUAGCUGACGAGAGCUAUAUUAUUCAGCAUGAAAGAAACUGACUUUGCAAUCUUCUUAGCAAGGAGUCCAAUGGUUCUAGAAAUUUUAUAUGUGUAUCCAUUAAGAAAUGACAAUCAAAAUUUUUAAGUUUUUGCAUUUAAAAGAUGUAGUUUGGUGUUUUUUGGGCUAAAUUAAAUGUCGAGUGCUAAAUAAGAGUUUGUUUAUUAUGUAUAUUGGACAUUGGACUAAGCUUUUAUUGUUUUAUUAAUAUUUUACUAAGAUUUAAAAUUCCUUCAAAGGAAUUCAGUCUUUCCUACAAUCUCAAAUAUUGGAAUCCAUAUGUAUUUGCUACCGGCUAGGAUGAAGCUUUGAUAUUUCAAAUUAGAUUAUGGAAUCCGAAAGAGAUAAUAGUUUGAAAUAGCUAAGGUCUACGACAAUGGGUACCAAAGAUUUGUGGCAAAGACUCAAUUCCUUUAGAAAAAAAUCGAUAUUAAAGUAUAUUUUAGUGAUUAAGAGUUUAUGUGCCUUGUCAGACUUUAUUUUUAAUCAAUUUUGAUUUUAUAAUAUUUUUGACAAUUAAUAAUUAACCUUUAUAUUUAUAAUAUCUGUGACAAUUAAAAAUUAACGUUUAUAUUUGUUAACUGUUCUAACCAGGAAUAAACUACACAGAAUA
This 6957-nucleotide unclassified non-coding RNA is filed under the name Eurytemora carolleeae. Its description in RNAcentral is "daf-12-interacting protein 1". Lineage: Eukaryota; Metazoa; Arthropoda; Copepoda; Calanoida; Temoridae. The record is from RNAcentral.